Molecule: ribosomal RNA, 468 nt
Filed under: uncultured bacterium
Lineage: Bacteria
Description: partial 16S ribosomal RNA
Rfam family: Bacterial small subunit ribosomal RNA
Source: RNAcentral
GACGAACGCUGGCGGCGUGCUUAACACAUGCAAGUCGAACGGAAAGGCCCUGCUUUUGUGGGCUGCUCGAGUGGCGAACGGGUGAGUAACACGUGAGUAACCUGCCCUUGACUUUGGGAUAACUUCAGGAAACUGGGGCUAAUACCGGAUAGCAUCUCCUGCUGCAUGGUGGGGGUUGGAAAGUUUCGGCGGUUGGGGAUGGACUCGCGGCUGAUCAGCUUGUUGGUGGGGUAGUGGCUUACCAAGGCUUUGACGGAUAGGCGGCCUGAGAGGGUGACCGGCCACAUUGGGACUGAGAUACGGCCCAGAGUCCUACGGUAGGCAACAGGGGGGAGUAUUGCACAAUGGGCGGAAGCGUGAUGAAGAAACGCCGCGUGCGGGAUGACGGCCUUCGGGUUGUAAACCGCUUUAGCCUGUGACGAAGCGUGAGUGACGGUACUGGGUGAAGAAGCACCGGCUAACUACGUG